GGCGAACGCUGGCGGCGUGCUUAACACAUGCCAGUCGAACGGAAAGGCCCUGCUUUUGUGGGGUGCUCGAGUGGCGAACGGGUGAGUAACACGUGAGUAACCUGCCCUUGACUUUGGGAUAACUUCAGGAAACUGGGGCUAAUACCGGAUAGGAGCUCCUGCUGCAUGGUGGGGGUUGGAAAGUUUCGGCGGUUGGGGAUGGACUCGCGGCUUAUCAGCUUGUUGGUGGGGUAGUGGCUUACCAAGGCUUUGACGGGUAGCCGGCCUGAGAGGGUGACCGGCCACAUUGGGACUGAGAUACGGCCCAGACUCCUACGGGAGGCAGCAGUGGGGAAUAUUGCACAAUGGGCGGAAGCCUGAUGCAGCAACGCCGCGUGCGGGAUGACGGCCUUCGGGUUGUAAACCGCUUUCGCCUGUGACGAAGCGUGAGUGACGGUAAUGGGUAAAGAAGCACCGGCUAACUACGU
This 467-nucleotide ribosomal RNA is filed under the name uncultured bacterium. RNAcentral describes it as "partial 16S ribosomal RNA". It matches the Rfam family "Bacterial small subunit ribosomal RNA", at positions 28 to 506 of the family's 1533-position model. The record is from RNAcentral.